UACGUAGGGGGCAAGCGUUGUCCGGAAUUAUUGGGCGUAAAGAGCUCGUAGGCGGUUUGUCGCGUCGAAUGUGAAAACCCGGGGCUCAACCCCGGGCCUGCAUUCGAUACGGGCAGACUAGAGUUCGGUAGGGGAGUCUGGAAUUCCUGGUGUAGCGGUGAAAUGCGCAGAUAUCAGGAGGAACACCGGUGGCGAAGGCGGGACUCUGGGCCGAUACUGACGCUGAGGAGCGAAAGCGUGGGGAGCAAACAGG
Molecule: ribosomal RNA, 253 nt
Filed under: uncultured bacterium
Lineage: Bacteria
Description: partial 16S ribosomal RNA
Rfam family: Bacterial small subunit ribosomal RNA
Source: RNAcentral